Molecule: unclassified non-coding RNA, 205 nt
Filed under: Hevea brasiliensis (rubber tree)
Lineage: Eukaryota; Viridiplantae; Streptophyta; Magnoliopsida; Malpighiales; Euphorbiaceae
Source: RNAcentral
GGCCGUUGGAGCAGGUCGUGGGCUUGGUAGUCGAGGAGGGGACACAUGUCAGUGGCAUGGAGAUGGUCCUUUCCUUUGCGCAGGAUCCGUUGGGGCUUGUCGGGGAGAAGAGGACGGCGGCGUGGAGGUGCUGUUAGGGUUUUGUUGGGAGGCUGGAGAGAAAGGGUUUGUUGGAUAGGUUAAAAUGGAGAAGAGGUGUGUUGAU